ACAUAAUACUUACUUAUAUUAAUUUUACUUUUUACUAUAAUAAAAAUCAUUACAUUUAAAUAAAUAAAGUAUUUUAAAAGAAAAAAAAAUUACUAAAAAAUAAAAUUUAAAAUUUGUACCUUGUGUAUAAUGGCUUAGUAAGAUUUUAUUAAAUUUAAUUUAUCCCGAAAAUUUUUCGAGCUAAUUUCUUUUUGUUUAGAACUAAUUAUAUUAUAUUACAAAAUAAUUAAAAAAAAAGGAAUUAGAAGCUACAUACUUUCCGCGAUAAUUUAUAGCUGGUUUCUUACUAUCUCUAUUUAAGUAGACAUAAUUAUUUAUUAUCAUAAAAAAUAAAGGUAAAGCUUUAUUUUAAUUGCUAAAAAUUUUUAAAAAAAUAUUUAUUGUAAUAUUAAUAGUUUAUAUCAAUUUAUAUUGUUUUACAUCUAAAAUUUUUAAUAACUUUUAAAUUAAUCAAAAUUUCUGCAUAAUACAAUAAGAAAAUUUUAAUAAUUAUAAUAAAAUUAUAUUCUUCUAAGAUUAGUAUUCAUAUUCUAAUUAUAAAAUAAAAAUAAAUUUUAUAUAUUUAUAUAAAAAAACUUAUUUAAAUAAGGAACUCGGCAAACACAAAUUUCGACUGUUUAACAAAAACAUAGCUUUUUGUAUCUAAAAUAAAAAGUAUCUUCUGCCCAAUGAUUAAUUUUAAAUGGCCGCAGUAUCUUAACUGUGCAAAGGUAGCAUAAUCAUUUGCCUUCUAAUUAAAGGCUUGUAUGAAUGAAUAAACGAAAAUUUAACUGUCUCAUUUAAAUUUAUAAAAAUUAAUCUAAAAGUGAAAAAGCUUUUAUUUUAUUAAUGGACAAGAAGACCCUAUUGAGCUUUAUUUUUAAUUAUUUAUUCUUUUUAUAUUUAAAUAAAAUAUUAAAUAAAAUAAAAAUUAGUUGGGGCGACUAAAGAAUAAUAAUACCUUCUUUUUAUUUAAAGGACUAUAAUCCAUAAAAAUGAUCUAAUAUAUUAAUUCACAAAAAAAGCUACCAUAGGGAUAACAGUCUAAUCUUUCUUUAAAGUUCAAAUUAACAGAAAGGAUUGGCACCUCGAUGUUGGCUUAAGAUUUCUUUUUUAUGCAGCAGUAAAAAUAGUAGGUUUGUUCAACCUUUAAAAUCUUACAUGAGCUGAGUUCAGACCGGCGUAAGCCAGGUUAGUUUAUAUCCUUAAUUUAAAAAUAAAUAAAACAGUACGAAAGGACCUUCUAUUUUAAAUAAUUUAAAUAAAUGAAUUAAUCUAAUUUUCUUUAAUUA
Molecule: ribosomal RNA, 1271 nt
Filed under: Spirobrachia sp. YL-2014
Lineage: Eukaryota; Metazoa; Annelida; Polychaeta; Sabellida; Siboglinidae
Description: large subunit ribosomal RNA
Rfam family: Eukaryotic large subunit ribosomal RNA (bases 571-1271)
Source: RNAcentral